AUACGAAAGGUGCAAGCGUUGUUCGGAUUUACUGGGCGUAAAGAGAUCGUAGGUGGUUUAUUAAGUCGGAUGUGAAAUCCCGGGGCUCAACCCCGGAACUGCAUUCGAUACUGGUAGACUAGAGUUUGGGAGGGGUAAGCGGAAUUCCGUGUGUAGCAGUGAAAUGCGUAGAUAUACGGACGAACACCUGAGGCGAAGGCGGCUUACUGGACCAAUACUGACACUGAGGAUCGAAAGCGUGGGUAGCAAACAGGAUUAGAAACCCUAGUAGUCC
RNAcentral lists this ribosomal RNA (274 nucleotides) under uncultured bacterium. Its description in RNAcentral is "partial 16S ribosomal RNA". It matches the Rfam family "Bacterial small subunit ribosomal RNA", at positions 523 to 796 of the family's 1533-position model. The record is from RNAcentral.